RNAcentral lists this transfer RNA (72 nucleotides) under Minicystis rosea. RNAcentral's name for it is "tRNA-OTHER". It matches the Rfam family "tRNA". From Rfam's summary of the family: Transfer RNA (tRNA) molecules are approximately 80 nucleotides in length. The record is from RNAcentral. Lineage: Bacteria; Pseudomonadati; Myxococcota; Polyangiales; Polyangiaceae.
GGACUCGUAGCUCACUGGUGGAGCAGACCGACUCUUAAUCGGUCCGAAGGGGGUUCGAUUCCCCCGAGUCCU